Molecule: long non-coding RNA, 2679 nt
Filed under: Homo sapiens (human)
Lineage: Eukaryota; Metazoa; Chordata; Mammalia; Primates; Hominidae
Description: long non-coding RNA NONHSAT124229.2
Source: RNAcentral
GUAAGUCGUGGUGUUCCGUAUUGCUUUGGAUGUGUAGCCCAGGAAUAAGAUGGCAGCACUGCAGGAUUCCGGAGCCACCCACAGCACCGACUGCUGCUGGAGAUACACAAUCAUGGGCACUCGUGAAGCUGCAGAAACUCACGGGGACCCUGACACCAGCUGCUCCUUGGACAGAGGGAGGCCCGUCAUCUGGGUCUGAAGGAGGCUCCCAAGACUCUGACACAGAACACUAAACUCCAGGGUGUUCUAGGACAGUGACAGGCAAGGCUGUUCUCAAUCAUCUCCUGUCUGACACGGACAUCGAGCUAAGCUAUGAGCAAGGGCGAACAAUGCCUCUCAGCAGCUCCUCCUCCUUGACCAGGCUCCCGACCACGGAGCAUUUCAGUCAAGGUCUAGGGAUUUGAGGGUGGAAGGAGAGAAUUUCAUCACUGGGGAGGAACUCCCCUCACAGACCCCCCAGGGCCACUCAGCUUCAAUCAGCUGUAACCCAGCCCCAACAUCUGCAGGCCACUGCGCAGGGAGUCCACGGUCAGCAGCCACCUCAGCACACCUCCUCCUGUGGCCACAUCUUCACUGGUUUCUGGAAUCCAACCUGGGGCCUUCCUGAAGCCAAGUGAGAAACUCAGGACAAGGCUUCUCUUCUUUGAAAGCCACAUCAAGUAGCACAAAGGACUGAGGUUUGCAGCUAUUUUAUUUACAAGUAUACAUUUAACACAAUGAAAUAAACACUGAUAUACUGAAGCCUAGUUAAUAGUAGUGUAACAAUAUGCAUCAUUUUGAUGAUUACAUUAUUUUAAACAACAAACUACACUGAAAAAUUAAUGCCGAUAAAAUUCUUGGUCAUAAUAUUAAGAAAUACAAUAUAUAAAUUGAAAAUAUGAUUGCUUAAAAUUUGAAAAUGGAAGUGAACUCAUUUGGACAGACUCAGAGUUAACAUAAUCUGAAGGGAGGGGAGCUCUGACCCAAAUGAUAUCUUUCAGGUUAACAGAAGAAAAAAGAAGCAUAGUUUAUCUUCAAGGAGAACGGGCAGUUUGCUUCUUCAGGUAGAAUAUAUUCCCAGUGUCCUCAGGCUUUGCAGCAGAAUCACAUCACCGAGCAUGAAGACUUGCCUUGUGAAGCUGCCCCGUCCAUUUUUUCUGCCUCCAAAAUUAUCCUUCGAAAAACAUCCACAGCAGUCUGAAAAGAGAAAGAAACCCAAUCACAGUGUUAGUGUGAAGCCGAACUCCGAGAGUAUUUUACGGACUGAGGAGGGCGUGCCGCCUGCCCUGCCCUCCUACUGGUGGAGGAGGAGGGGUUCUGGUGAGCCCCAGAACUUCAGGGCCCCCCGACGCCCAGUAAGGCCACUGUCCACCCCUCCUGACCCAGACCAUAACCAGCCUCCGAUUGUGCUUUUGACCCUGUUUCCUUCAGGCACCAGGAGACGCCCGAAGAGUCCUCACUCCCAGACUCACCACCAUCUCCUGUCCCACUCCACCCCAUGACCCCCACCCCAGUGUCCUCUGACCUCAGGGUCCCUCUUCACUUCUGGCACUAUCUUUCCUCCUUUCCUACGGGACAUACUCUCCCAGCAGCCCUUGCCUCUCACAUCCUUGACACUAAGAGGCCUGAAGUGGGGAAGGCACCCUCCGUGCUCCUGAGAUGCCACGAUGCCAGCCUCCAACACCUCUGUGGCGUAAUUCUCGGUCAUUUCAAUCCACAAACUGCCCUCCCUAUCUCCUGGCCUCUCCUCUCCUGCCCGUCUUCCUGCCCUCAGCCUCAGCCCAGGGUCAACCCCACCAGUCCUUCACCACAGACAGGAAUCAUGGCCACUUGGAGCAGGAACUCUUCCUACACUGAGUGGGGAGGAGAACUGUCAGACCCUGUCCUUUAUUUUUCCUUUUUUGUUAUACAGAUUGGAGGUUUCUAUGUUGCCCAGGCUGGCCUCGAAAGCCUAGCCUCGCCUCCUUAUGCACCAGGACAACAGGCCUGAGCCACCGUGACUCCCAGACCCUGUCCUUGAAAUGCAGUCCUGUGGUCAUGAAAAACUGCCCCUGUUCUCAGAAGCCCCACAGGAAGUACCCUGUUCUCCUAAUCACCAAGAAUCCCCCUCCCCCAUCACUCCAGUGACUUCCACUAUCCCACGAAACCAGAACACACCAACUGCCAGCGUCCCACCACACCACCUUCCCAGCUCUUUCUCUAGCUAUCCUGAAGCAACAAUUCUCAGCCCCACAAGGGGCCUGAUUUGUUGACCCUAUUAUUACAUCUCCCCUGUCCCUUAACCACUUCUUGCUGCUCCUUUCCCUCUCGGUCAGCUCAGACUCAGCAGGCCACCAUGGCGCCACUGUACUUCAACUCCCUUCCCUACCAACUGUCGCUGGCACGGUGCCCGCGGCCACACCGUAAACGCUGCCCAGGGAAAACACACACCGCUCACUGCUGACCUCACACCCAUGACCAGGAACCUGGCGCAGACACUUGGUGCUGCCUAGCCACCCGCCUGCAUCCCUGGAUCUGGGCACUCCCCAGAGAAAGCAUCCACGCCUUGUCCCUUCUCCUCAAAUGUUCCCCGUGCUUACGCUCAGCUGAAAACCUUGUUUUACACACUUCACUGGAAAACAGAAGCCACAUUCAUGAAAGAACUCCACAUCCUCCAUCCACCAAGCUGACCCACCCACUUGAAUGUGGGCUCCCAUCCUC